This 440-nucleotide ribosomal RNA is filed under the name uncultured bacterium. Its description in RNAcentral is "partial 16S ribosomal RNA". It matches the Rfam family "Bacterial small subunit ribosomal RNA", at positions 338 to 795 of the family's 1533-position model. The record is from RNAcentral.
CCUACGGGAGGCUGCAGUGGGGAAUAUUGCACAAUGGGGGAAACCCUGAUGCAGCGACGCCGCGUGAGUGAAGAAGUACUUCGGUAUGUAAAGCUCUAUCAGCAGGGAAGAAAAUGACGGUAUCUGAUUAAGAAGCCCUGGCCAACUUCGUGCCAGCAGCCGCGGCAAUACGGAGGGGGCAAGCGUUAUCCGGAUUUACUGGGGGUAAAGGGAGCGUAGACGGCAGCACAAGUCUGGAGUGAAAUGCCGGGGCUUAACCCCGGAACUGCAUUGGAAACUGUGCAGCUGGAGUGCAGGAGAGGUAAGUGGAAUUCCUGGUGUAGCGGUGAAAUGCGUAGAUAUUAGGAGGAACACCAGUGGCGAAGGCGGCUUACUGGACUGUAACUGACGUUGAGGCUCGAAAGCGUGGGGAGCAAACAGGAUUAGAUACCCUUGUAGUC